This 301-nucleotide long non-coding RNA is filed under the name Physcomitrium patens. RNAcentral describes it as "long non-coding RNA (PPAT_LNC013784)". The record is from RNAcentral. Lineage: Eukaryota; Viridiplantae; Streptophyta; Bryopsida; Funariales; Funariaceae.
UAGUCAUAAGCCGGGAUAAGCUUUGUACUACCUCUUUGUUUUCUUUGUUUUCUUUAUAGUUGAAGAGUAAUGGAUAGUUUCUAAAUAUUGUGAAAUAAAUUUUUGGAAUAAAUGAGAGAUUGAUUUAUGAGAUAUUGAGUAUGUAAUUGAAGUAUUGUGUGAUUGAAUUAUUAUGAGAAGAUAUUGGAAGUUUUUUAUCAGAUUUUGUAGAAGAUUGAUUCUGGAUAGAAGAUUAUGAUUGUUGUUAAUUGAGAGUUGUGUGUAUUUUGACGAAAGAAGUCUGUGAUUACAAAAAUUAUGU